UCUCCGGAAGCUGAUGUAGAAAACCUCACAAUCUCUGAACAGGCAGAGGGCUCCCUGCCAAGGCCGCCGCUACCAAACUUGGCCGGAGAGGGUCCACUCAGCGAUUUCUCAGGUGGAAAUGUAAAAUUUUCUGAUGUAAGAGAGAUGUUUUGAGAAUGAGUGGAAUUUGGAUUUCCGUUGUGACUGAUGAAAGAGAAGUGUGGAGACAACCUCAGAAUAUAGUUCGAAUUAAACAGUUUGGUAGAAUGGCAGAAUAAACAAAAAAACAGCUAAUUGUAAACUAUAUGCUAAUUUAUUCAAGCUUUUAUGUUUGUUGAGAAAGUCAUGUUUCUAGUUGCUAUGAUUUUAGGUACUAUUUGGUAGAAGGGAAUCAAGGAGCCGAUCAAUUAGCAAUUGAACAAUUCUAGUGGAGAAGAUGUAGCUACAUCAAUGGUCGGAGUGGAGAAAAGAGUACCUGUUUGACUUCUAGUGGAGAACCGAGGUGUGUCCAUAGGAGGGUAUGUCCCGGCUAUGAUUGACCGAAGACGAUGGAUCGGCGACGAUUGACCGGCAACGAUUGACUGGCGACGUUGGACCGGCGACGCUGGUGCCGAAUCGCCGAUGGUUGAUAUGUCGAUUUAGGGCAAAGAGGAGAGAUGUGGUGACUAGAGAGGCGCGGUGACUUUGAGUUUGAACAUUACGAUGAAAACAGUAAAAGGACAUCUCAACUUUUUCCCCAAUUCAGUAAAAGAUAAAAGGGGCAAGAAUAAUUUUAGGUCGUCUAUAUUGAGAAGGGUAGUAUGGUAAAUAUGUUUGAUGAGAAGGUUUUGUUAGUUGUGGAGUGUACAGGGACUUGAAUAAAGACUUCAAAUAAAAUGAGUCUUUGGAAAAAUAUGUUGGUAAAUAAAAUAGGGAAAGCUCCGGUCAUUUUCAAAAAUAAAAAAAUAUAUAUUAAUUAAUGACAACAAUUAAUAGUCACUAACUAUUUUUCGGUUUGUAAAUCAGUGACCAUCAUUGAGUCGUCACA
RNAcentral lists this long non-coding RNA (1006 nucleotides) under Lactuca sativa (garden lettuce). RNAcentral describes it as "long non-coding RNA (LSAT_LNC005840)". The record is from RNAcentral. Lineage: Eukaryota; Viridiplantae; Streptophyta; Magnoliopsida; Asterales; Asteraceae.